RNAcentral lists this long non-coding RNA (401 nucleotides) under Capsella rubella. RNAcentral's name for it is "long non-coding RNA (CRUB_LNC004384)". The record is from RNAcentral. Lineage: Eukaryota; Viridiplantae; Streptophyta; Magnoliopsida; Brassicales; Brassicaceae.
GGGAUUCCAAUCAGGAUCUUUUCGAUUUACCACUUUUAUAUUUUAUGUGUUUAAGGAUGUUUUGUAAACUGCACUACAAAUUUUCUGUUUUAGUUUUUUUUUUUGGUAAAAUUUUCUUUUUUAGGUUAAAAAAGGGUUUACAUGUAAAAGUAAAGUUCUCUAGACUGAUGGAUUCUUAGUUAAUCAUUUUGACGUGAUGAGACCAUCUAUAAUUAAUCUGAUAUGUAAAAAGAGUGAUAUAUAUAUAUAUAUAUAUAGUUCAUUUUUUUUGGGAGAUAAACACACGAUUUAAUUUAUUGUUGAAAUUGAGAUAGAACAAGCAUAUUUGUUAACAUACAUACUAACGAUAGGAAAGAUAAAUCAAAAGAUUUUAAAAAUUGUCAAAAAGAGAAAUUUGAAAA